GACGAACGCUGGCGGCGUGCUUAACACAUGCAAGUCGAACGGAAAGACCCUGCUUUUGUGGGGUGCUCGAGUGGCGAACGGGUGAGUAACACGUGAGUAACCUGCCCUUGACUUUGGGAUAACUUCAGGAAACUGGGGCUAAUACCGGAUAGGAGCUCCUGCUGCAUGGUGGGGGUUGGAAAGUUUCGGCGGUUGGGGAUGGACUCGCGGCUUAUCAGCUUGUUAGUGGGGUAGUGGCUUACCAAGGCUUUGACGGGUAGCCGGCCUGAGAGGGUGACCGGCCACAUUGGGACUGAGAUACGGCCCAGACUCCUACGGGAGGCAGCAGUGGGGAAUAUUGCACAAUGGGCGGAAGCCUGAUGCAGCAACGCCGCGUGCGGGAUGACGGCCUUCGGGUUGUAAACCGCUUUCGCCUGUGACGAAGCGUGAGUGACGGUAAUGGGUAAAGAAGCACCGGCUAACUACGUG
This 468-nucleotide ribosomal RNA is filed under the name uncultured bacterium. RNAcentral's name for it is "partial 16S ribosomal RNA". It matches the Rfam family "Bacterial small subunit ribosomal RNA", at positions 28 to 507 of the family's 1533-position model. The record is from RNAcentral.